CCGUUGUGUGAUGUGAUUUAGGAUUUAAGUUUGCUGGCAGACCCUAGCUUCUUAUCAUUCCAGGACUCAAUCAAUUGAGAUGAGGUUGAUAGGACGCUGGGCUCACUGCAAUUCGCAAGAAUUGCAGAGAUGUUCAGCAGAACCUUGACAACUGCAUAGGUAAGUCUGGAAAGAAUAAAGCAUCUCAUGGAUGCAUGAUUCUUGGGAAUCAGCUGAUGCAAUCUGCGCGAGCAGAGAGCUGAGGUUGAUCAACGAGAAUGAUGUUUGAUUCUUGAGUCAAGAGCCGAGACUCUAUAGCGUUCUUUCGAUGUCAUCGAGUCAUCGAGAGUUUGAUUGGUGAUUCAAACCAUCUUCAAUGACAAACAAUUCAGUUUAACU
This 378-nucleotide unclassified non-coding RNA is filed under the name uncultured Prochlorococcus sp. Its description in RNAcentral is "partial 16S-23S ribosomal RNA intergenic spacer". The record is from RNAcentral. Lineage: Bacteria; Bacillati; Cyanobacteriota; Cyanophyceae; Synechococcales; Prochlorococcaceae.